This 253-nucleotide ribosomal RNA is filed under the name uncultured bacterium. RNAcentral describes it as "partial 16S ribosomal RNA". It matches the Rfam family "Bacterial small subunit ribosomal RNA", at positions 524 to 776 of the family's 1533-position model. The record is from RNAcentral.
UACGGAGGGUGCAAGCGUUGUUCGGAAUUAUUGGGCGUAAAGGGCAGGUAGGUGGUCUUGAAAGUCUACUGUGAAAUCCCCGAGCUUAACUCGGGAAGUGCGGUAGAUACUCCAAGACUAGAGUGCUGGAGGGGUGCGCGGAAUUCCCGGUGUAGUGGUGAAAUGCGUAGAUAUCGGGAGGAACACCAGUGGCGAAGGCGGCUUCCUGGCCUGUUCUUGACGCUGAGGCGCGAAAGCUAGGGGAGCAAACGGG